ACCUUGUGCCUGGCUCUGGCCCAAGUGAGGGGUCCACCUGGACCUCAGGGCCAGUCCGGCCAACCAGGCCCCUCUGGCACCCCUGGCUCAGAUGGCAUUGAUGGAGAAAAAGGACCGCCUGGGGGCCCUGGUUCACCAGGACUUAAGGGGGAGCCUGGAGAGUCAGGUCCAAACGGAGCAGCAGGAGAGAAUGGCAUUGAUGGUUUGAUUGGAGCAAAGGGUGAUCGAGGUCCUAUUGGGAGCGCUGGCCCCAAGGCAAGUGUCCAAACCUGCAACUGAAAAGAUAAUUAGAACAAGUCCGCCGUUAUAAUACUGUUCUGUGGGAAACCUGUUUUACUACAAAAAGGGGCCAUGUUCCUAUUAUCUUCUCAGAGUGAUGUUGAGCAUGACAAUGAUCCCCUGUU
This 404-nucleotide long non-coding RNA is filed under the name Cottoperca gobio. RNAcentral's name for it is "lncRNA (ENSCGOG00000007424.1)". Lineage: Eukaryota; Metazoa; Chordata; Actinopteri; Perciformes; Bovichtidae. The record is from RNAcentral.